This 240-nucleotide ribosomal RNA is filed under the name uncultured Lactobacillus sp. RNAcentral describes it as "partial 16S ribosomal RNA". It matches the Rfam family "Bacterial small subunit ribosomal RNA", at positions 122 to 356 of the family's 1533-position model. Lineage: Bacteria; Bacillati; Bacillota; Bacilli; Lactobacillales; Lactobacillaceae. The record is from RNAcentral.
UAACCUGCCCAAGAGAUCGGGAUAACACCUGGAAACAGAUGCUAAUACCGGAUAACAACAGAUGAUGCCUAUCAACUGUUUAAAAGAUGGUUCUGCUAUCACUCUUGGAUGGACCUGCGGUGCAUUAGCUAGUUGGUAGGGUAACGGCCUACCAAGGCGAUGAUGCAUAGCCGAGUUGAGAGACUGAUCGGCCACAUUGGGACUGAGACACGGCCCAAACUCCUACGGGAGGCAGCAGNG